UUUGGUGAAAUUUUUAAUGAAACUCUAUCAAGUAACUUAUGUCAUUUAGGUGUUUGAUAAAAUGUUUGUGAGUGACCACAAUUCCUUUUUGUAUUACUAUAGUUCGGUCAGUUCAUUGGUUGUACUUCAUGAAUGUCAUUUAUGUGUAUGCUAGUUAUACUUGAGAGUUAAUUGAUGGAUUGUGUUUCGAUACUAGAGUAUUUGAAUGUGAGAGUACCAUGUUUGGGAACACAAUUAUCAAUAUGUGGUUCGCUAUGUCAAUAAAUGUAUCUGGUAGGUCUAAUCCUAUCCAGUGGUAUAUCUUUUUCCACCUACAUUGGUGACAAGGAUUAAUUUAACUCU
This 342-nucleotide long non-coding RNA is filed under the name Panax ginseng (ginseng). RNAcentral describes it as "long non-coding RNA (PGIN_LNC010518)". The record is from RNAcentral. Lineage: Eukaryota; Viridiplantae; Streptophyta; Magnoliopsida; Apiales; Araliaceae.